Molecule: ribosomal RNA, 429 nt
Filed under: Bacteroidota bacterium
Lineage: Bacteria; Pseudomonadati; Bacteroidota
Description: Bacteroidetes bacterium partial 16S ribosomal RNA
Rfam family: Bacterial small subunit ribosomal RNA
Source: RNAcentral
UAGGGAAUCUUCCGCAAUGGACGCAAGUCUGACGGAGCAACGCCGCGUGAGUGAAGAAGGAUUUCGGUUCGUAAAACUCUGUUGUUAGAGAAGAACAGCGCAUAGAGUAACUGUUAUGCGUGUGACGGUAUCUAACCAGAAAGCCACGGCUAACUACGUGCCAGCAGCCGCGGUAAUACGUAGGUGGCAAGCGUUGUCCGGAUGUAUUGGGCGUAAAGCGAGCGCAGGCGGUCAAUUAAGUCUGAUGUGAAAGCCCCCGGCUCAACCGGGGAGGGUCAUUGGAAACUGGUUGACUUGAGUGCAGAAGAGGAGAGUGGAAUUCCAUGUGUAGCGGUGAAAUGCGUAGAUAUAUGGAGGAACACCAGUGGCGAAGGCGACUCUCUGGUCUGUAACUGACGCUGAGGCUCGAAAGCGUGGGUAGCAAACAGG